UAUUAAACCUCUUUCGAUAUCCUUUAAACUUUAAGCAUUUAAUACAAUUUGCAUUCUUUUUCCAAAUGAAUAUACAUCAUAAACUCUCCAAAACCUCACCCUAUACAAUAUCUACUCUCAUAAUGUAACAAAAGUACAGGGUAGAGCUAAUGCAAGUAGGAAAGGUACAGCUAUCAACCACACUGCUAGGGCGCUAAGCCCUUGCCGCGAUCCAUCGAUGAAGGCC
RNAcentral lists this long non-coding RNA (226 nucleotides) under Ananas comosus (pineapple). Its description in RNAcentral is "long non-coding RNA (ACOM_LNC003228)". Lineage: Eukaryota; Viridiplantae; Streptophyta; Magnoliopsida; Poales; Bromeliaceae. The record is from RNAcentral.